GUCAGGAGACUGAGUGGAUCUGGCAAUGGGAGCUCAUGAAAAUUCUCUUCUGGCACUUCUAAUUCUCAAGAAAGUAAGGAGCAAGGUAAUCAGCUGAGGUGGCAUGGGGAGACUGCACUGGAGGUCUGAAAGAGCAAGCGGAUAACAUUAAACAUGGAAGCUUUCCAUUUGUGGCACUGAAUGAUGGCCUACACAGAGCAUCCUUCAAAAGCUGCAAUUAAGUACCCAUCUAACUUUUCAGCAAUACAAGCCCAGUUGAGAUCUUCUGGUCCAUUUGCUUGAAAUUUCUUUUUGAUUGCAUCCUUACAGCUUGUGAAGAUCAUUUUACUUUUCAGAGGUGGUAGUUCUGGUGCCCACAAAAACAAACAAACAAACAAUACUCUUCCGGAUUUCUUCGUUUCAAAGCUUGCAUCAUAUAAAGCAUAGCAGCAAUCUUUUUCAGGAAGCAUUCCCACAAAGUGCUUGAAAGGACCAGUUAUGGUUACACCAAUAUCUCCAGCUGAGAUCUCUUUGCCCUCUUCUACAAUGAUGCACUUUUUGUCUGCACUGAGACAAAAAAUGACAGUCUUCUUUCUUUUCUUGAUUUCUUCUGAUGUGGAGCAUUUAUGAACUUUUAUGUCACAAAAAAUGUGACAUACUUCAUCAGCAACUUGCACUCCUGAGUCCGUCUUUGCCGCCACGGUCACAGGGACACAGGGGAGGCCGCUGGUGGGCACCGAGUCUGCGGAGUGUCCUCUUCACAGCUGCGUACCAAGAGACUGCACUGCUCUUAACUAUAAACGUCUGAACACUGAAUAUUAAACACUAAAGCCUAAACCCUGCCCGCACCCCGACUCUAAUCCUAGACCAAACAAAACACUAAAACUCACCUUAGUCUCCAGCCCCUUGCCCUAACCUCAGUGUUAACCUAAACCUUAAUCCUGAUGCUACAAUUUUAAAGCAUGAGCAUUUGGUCUAUGUGUAAAGCGUUUUAACUAUGGCAGUGAGUAAAGAAGGCAUCUCCUUCCACUCCCCUUUGCUUACUCUGCCCCAGGCCACAGAUUCCUGGCCAGUCCCCUCAUUUCCUUCUGGUCUUUACUCACACAUCCCCUUCCCCAAAGAGUUUAAGCCAACUGUGCAGUUAGAGAGAACAGUCCCCACAAGAGACCACCCUCACUUCUGACACCAACUGCAAUUUAGGGGGAAAACCACCCAAAACCACCCUCAGGUUACAUAACUUGCUAGCAGGGCUCACGGAAAGCUGUUGUAUUCAUAGUUAUGUUGUAUUACAGGGAAGCCAUACAGAUUAAAAUCUGCCAAGGGGAGGGAUAAAAUCAGCCAAGGCAGAGUCUAGGAGGGUCUCUCUAAAUAUGAAGCUUCCGUUUGUUCUCUGUGAAGUCAUGGGCACCACUUAUCACCAGCAGGCCUAAAACCCACUUUACCUAUUUGUGUAUUGUCUCUCUGUCCCAUAGGAAUGUUAGCUUCAUGACGGCAGGGAAUUUGGUCAGCUUUACUCACUGCUGUGUGACUUCUAGAACUGCACCAUCCAAUAUUGUAGCUACUAGCCAUGUGUGGGUACUGAGCACUUGAAAAAUGGCUGUCCCACCUCAAAAUACACCAUAAGUGUAAAAUACACAUGGGAUUUUAAGGGCUUAGUAUUAAAAGAAAAAUGUAAAAUAACUCACUGCUAAUUUGUUAUACUGGUUAUGGGUUAAAAUGAUAUUUGGUAGAUAUUGGGUUAUAUAAAAUAUAUCAUUAAAAUGUAUUUCUCUUUUUUAUAAACUUAAAUUGUGAUCUGCAAUGUGUGUGUGUG
Homo sapiens (human) is the source of this 1792-nucleotide long non-coding RNA. The record is from Ensembl. Lineage: Eukaryota; Metazoa; Chordata; Mammalia; Primates; Hominidae.